UGCCAGCAGCCGCGGUAAUACGGAGGGGGCAAGCGUUGUUCGGAAUUACUGGGCGUAAAGGGCGCGUAGGCGGUAUGCCAUGUCAGGGGUGAAAGCUCGGGGCUCAACCCCGGAAGUGCAUUGGAAACUGGCGAACUUGAGUACGGGAGAGGAAAGUGGAAUUCCGAGUGUAGGGGUGAAAUCCGUAGAUAUUCGGAGGAACACCAGUGGCGAAGGCGGCUUUCUGGACCGAUACUGACGCUGAGACGCGAAAGCGUGGGGAGCAAACAGGAUUAGAUA
Molecule: ribosomal RNA, 279 nt
Filed under: uncultured bacterium
Lineage: Bacteria
Description: partial 16S ribosomal RNA
Rfam family: Bacterial small subunit ribosomal RNA
Source: RNAcentral